CAGCCGUAAACUAUGCGCGUUAGGUGUAUCGGUGACCACGAGUCACCGAGGUGCCGAAGGGAAACCGUGAAACGUGCCGCCUGGGAAGUACGGUCGCAAGGCUGAAACUUAAAGGAAUUGGCGGGGGAGCAACACAACGGGUGGAGCCUGCGGUUUAAUUGGACUCAACGCCGGGAAGCUCACCGGAUAAGACAGCGGAAUGAUUGCCGGGCUGAAGACUCUGCAUGACUAGCUGAGAGGUGGUGCAUGGCGUCAGUGACU
RNAcentral lists this ribosomal RNA (261 nucleotides) under uncultured archaeon. RNAcentral's name for it is "partial 16S ribosomal RNA". It matches the Rfam family "Archaeal small subunit ribosomal RNA", at positions 748 to 1008 of the family's 1478-position model. The record is from RNAcentral.